Long non-coding RNA from Triticum dicoccoides, 976 nucleotides. RefSeq lists it as uncharacterized. The record is from RefSeq and is a predicted model, not a curated record. The transcript has 4 exons. Lineage: Eukaryota; Viridiplantae; Streptophyta; Magnoliopsida; Poales; Poaceae.
CCAUCGAUCCGGCUGCGCACCUCCUCCCUGGCCUCGUUGCUCUCCCUGGCCCAGCAACAUCAUCCGCUCCCCUAGAAUGUUCCUCCCGGUGCGAAAGCCUGUCCUUUUGACUCCUAUUUCCGUCAUCGUUGCCCUCAGAUCUGGCAGCCCCCGGCCAUGACGCUGCCGGAUCUAGCCGCCUGGACCUCAACGCCCCAACCAAUACAGGCGCUCGCCGUAGCACCUUAGUACUAAGGUUGUUUUCUUCGUCGGCUCUCUCUCCAUCCACCUCCUACGCCAAAGCCAUGUAUCAGCCCACCUCCUCCUCAUUAGAGUGGCACCUGAUGUCGCCGAGUGGACCACAGUGUUGCCUUCACUCGCCUGUACCAGGUUUGAUCCUGUGGUUGAAGUUGAACACUGGGAACAUGGAGGAGAUGGUUCCAUAGGGUUCAAGUUCUACAACGAGGCCAUGGUCUCAAUUGGACCUCUCUAAAGAGCAACAAUAUAAAGCUUUUGAGCUUACGCACAUGAAUCUCCAAGAAUCCGGUGAUCUACUGAGCCAGUUGUAUGCUGGGCGAGAAAGAGAGGAACAGUAAACCUGACACAAUGACACACCCUUUGCCUGAUGACCAUUUCCAAUCAUGAUGACCUCCGGUCGGUGCUGAAGGAAUGAGAAACGGUACUGGAGGAAUUGUGAUCUAUGGCAAGGGUGAUGAUGUUUAUGAUGAUGAUUGUUAUGAUCUAUACAGUGAUGAGCAUUAUGAUCCAUAUGGUUAUUUAGGGUGACGAGUCUAAUGAUCAUUCUUGAAGACAUGCAACAAAGUGAAGUUAUGAAGUCCUGGUCAAUCUAGCUUACACAUAAUGCUUGGACCAUUAUAUUGUUUUGCAUUAUAAACUUCCUAGAUAGAUCAUGAUGAUUAGUGUAACUUUGAUGUAACUCUUGUGAUAUUUUGAAAGUUGUACUAAAUAUAAUAUAUGUUACUUGGUCAUGUGUGGG